RNAcentral lists this unclassified non-coding RNA (221 nucleotides) under soil metagenome. RNAcentral describes it as "partial contains 5.8S ribosomal RNA, internal transcribed spacer 2, and large subunit ribosomal RNA". The record is from RNAcentral.
AACGCACGAGACCUGCGGACCUGCGGAGGGAUCAUUAAUGAGUUGCAAAACUCCCUAAACCAUUGUGAACCUACCUGUACCGUUCCUUCGGCGGGCGGCGUCAAGCCCUAACCCGUCUCCCUUUACGGGGGAUGGACCCGCCGGAGGCUCCUAAACUCUUAACUUUUGUUGGCAUCUCUGAGUAAAUCAAAAUAAGUCAAAACUUUCAGCAACGGAUCUCU